CGGCUUUAGUGACUUUGUCAUUAGCCAGCCUUGGACCCAUGCUCCGAACCCACCAGAUGCUGCGUGGAGACUCCACGUGAUGGAUGAAGAAGCCCAGAUGGAGAGAGUGUUCCAGUUGGGCCCAGGCCUGGCUGACUUGCCCUCCGGAAGCAUCUGCGUGAGUGACCUCAGGCAAGACCAAUGGAAGAGCCAACCAGCUAAUCCACAGAAUUCUCCAUUAAAGAGAAGGGAAAAGAAGGUGUGGCUCUACAAAGAGAAAGAAAGAAGAGGCAAUGGCAGUUUUCUGAAGCCAGAACUCAGAGAGAAAAGUGGUAAGUGACCCGGCCAACCAGAGAGAGAGGGCAUGGGAACCUGAGUAGAAUCCUUGAAACAGAUGAAUCAACAUGAAAACCCUGAGGAUUUGAAAUGUCAGGUACCUAUAAAUGUGUAGCUAUUGGAAAGCCCAAGACAAAGAGAAUCAUUGAAGCAGCUGGCUUCCUAGAUGCCCUCCUGGCCCCACAUAUCCAGUUGACUUCCCAGGUAUUAGUAUAACGCUGGAGAUUUAUUCUUGGGGAAGGAUGAACCAAAAGGUCUCUGAACGGGGCACACCAAGUUCAAGUUCAAAGUGUGAAUGCUGUACUGCAGACAGAGGAUUGAGUAUUACCUGUCAAAGGGUGAAAAUGCUAGAACUUUUUUUUUUUUUUUUUGGCAAAAAAGACUUGUAACUCUUAGUUAAUUUUCUCUGGUUCCUGGGACAUUGAUAUCUAUAGAUAUUAUUAGUUGAUGAUUCCACCCAUGGGAAGGCAGCUUCUCUCCCCUUCCCACCCCCCCGCCCCUUGCCAUCACACAUACAGCUGAGUUCAUGGUAGCUUGUCCCUUUGAGUAUGAAUGAGUAGGAAAUAAAUAAAAGACAAGGGAAUUAUCCAGCAUGAAAGACAGAGGUCCAAACAAACAAACAAACAAACAAAAUAAAGAUGCUUGUAGGAAACAGAGACAAGUGUAGGGAGAAGAAGAAAAUUCAAACAAUUAACUGUAAUUAAUAUUCCUGGAAAAUAAGUCAAGAAUAACAUUUGGGAAACAAAACAAAAUAUAUAUAAAAAUAGAACAUUUAGAAAAGUAAAGCAACUUUGCAAAUGCAAAAUAAGCAGAAAUUAUGAGGCAUAGUCUCUAAAGAUAGUUAAUAUCCACAAAAGGAGAGAUCUCUACUCCUAUGCCCAAAGAAAUGAAAAAAAAAAAAAAAACCCAGUUGUGUCUUAACAAGGAAAUUCAAAUGAAAUUGAGAAUACUAAAAAUGAAUGGCAACCUUGUGGGAUUGACUAUAACAAUCUUCAGAGGAAAACUUAUGCCUUAAAUGCAUUUUUAUUUAGAUGUGUUUACCGAAUCUACUUUAUUUUUUCUUCUUGGCUCGCAGCUAAACUACAUUGCCCAGCUUCCUCUGCAGUUAGGUGGAACCAUGUGACUAAGUCCUGGCCAGGGGAGUAUGGGAAGAAGUAAUGAUGCUCCUUUCAGGCCUGACCUCUGAAACAGCCUGUUCGCCAAAACCUCCUUACUCAUUCUUUCUCUCACCCUGUUCUCAUUAGUUGCCAGAUGGAGGGAUUCAAGGCAAGUAACGAGUGCCAGUAAAUAUUACCCUUGCUUCUGUUGCUGUUCAGGCCAUUUCCGCUUUCCACGUGGUGAUGGUGGUGUGUGCGUGGUGGGGGAGGGGGAGUGCAUCAUUUAUCCCUGGUUCUUCCGCGCUCUUAGUUCCAGACUGACAGGAUACCUGGUAGUAUAUCACAAAGGGAAAAGCAUAUUUGAAGUUCUUAACUCAGGGGUGCAGUAGCUUGGAGAGGUUUUUUUUUUUUGUCACAAACUGAAAUGCCCCGUGGGUGCGUGUGCGAUUCUUUUUGAGAGUCUGAAGCAAUUUAUUCAUGUAUUCAUUUAUCCGUUCAUUUACAUGUUGGGCAUACUUUUUAAGUAUCUACCUAUCUAAUGUACUAUACUGGGCAUGGAGACAGACAGGUUUCAUGCCUGAAUAAGAGAGACAACUAAAUGAGUACCUAAGGGGCGCCUGGGUGGCUUAGUGGGUUGAGCGCCUGACUCUUGAUUUCCGCUCAGGUCAUGAUCCCAGGGAUCGAACCCUGCAUCUGGCUCUGAGCUGAGUGUGGGGUCUGCUGAAGAUUCUCCCUCCUCCCCCCCCCCCC
Molecule: long non-coding RNA, 2162 nt
Organism: Acinonyx jubatus (cheetah)
Lineage: Eukaryota; Metazoa; Chordata; Mammalia; Carnivora; Felidae
Exons: 3
Source: RefSeq, a predicted model, not a curated record